GGACUGUGUUUGACUGGGAAAUAGAAUUGUUGUGGGUGUGUAGCAACGCAAAGAGUAGAGCGGCACUUAAUAGUAUAACUGCAUGUGCCUUCAUCAACACUGUUGCUCUUAUCUGGCGAGAAAGAAACAACAUUAGAUUUAACAGGAAAACAUUUGAUGAAUCUCAACUGUGCAGAGAAAUAGCCCCGAUAAUCCAUAUCCGAGGCAGGAAUUGCAGGCGUUGGCAAUCUGGAUUGGGCAAACUUAACAAAUUUCCUUAGUUUCUAGUUUACUAGAUGUUCCUAUACUAUGAUGUACCUAGAGAAAGUUAGAAUUUAGUAUAGAAGAGUGAUGUAAAUGAGUAGGAGUAGUCCAAUCUCUUACUAAAGCUUCAACUUGAAAAUAUUUUUUUUGAUAUUAAUGGAUAGAAUGUUUACCCAAACAAAAAAAACAAUUCUUCAUUCAUGGAUUCCAGACGUGGUUCAUAUAGGUGAGUCAAAUUUCCAGAUCAAGGGAGAAUGAAAGUGCAGCUGAAGACAUGAAAUAGAACAAGAAGAAGAAUAGGAAAUCAGCAGCAGUGAUCAUAGCUAGUAUCCAGCAGUCACACAGAGCAGCAAUAGUAACAGUUUUGAACCAAAAUCACUUCGCAAAAACCCGGGAAAACUUCAACAGAAGUACAGCACCAGCAAAUGACCAAAGCGAACUGAUUAAACCCCAAAACCUACUCAAAAUCAAACAAAAACACCUUUGAACCUUCAAAUUACCAUAACUAAACUAAAGAAAUGUAAACCAAUAGCUAAAAGUUGAAUUCUUCUUCGGUUUUAAUGAAACAGUAGUUUUUUUUUUUGGAUUUUGGACAGUUUUCUAUUGUUUUUUGGUUUUUCUGUAUAAAACUAAGAUCUAGAAGAAGAUUUUUGAACUUUCUAUUGAUUUGAAAUUCAAAAUGCAGGCUCAGAUCUGUAAAGAGGAUUUUUGGGGGGAAUUUUGAAGGGUGAAAAGCUUGUUUGUGAAGUCAAUAUUCAUGCCCUUUUAUAUGAAAAAUGAGGGGCAACCCUCAAAUUUUUUGUUUUCCUUUUAGUCCCUUUUAUUUUCAUACUAAUCCUCUACUUAUUAACUUGUUCCACAAGUUAGUACCCUAAGUUUAUAUGCACUAAAGUCCUAUUCUAGAAUAGUCUAAGAUAUUCUAGUGUGAUCUACAUCAUUCAUGUCCCACUCUAAUUACCUAAAUACCCCUGAAUACCCCUGAAAUUAUUCACCUAGGUCACAAUUAACCUAUCCAAUUGAUUGAACUAUGGUUCAACUAUAACCAAUCAGCUUAAGCUAAACAUAAACUCAUUAACUAAUGAACUAAAGGAAAUUCUGAUUCACAUCAACAAAUUAAAACCAGCUAAGCCUAAAGAAAAUUGAUUAAAACAAAUUAUCAAAGCAAAGGAUCAAACUAAUGUCCAAAACAGAAUUAAACUAAACUAGAACAAUUUCACAAACAACGCCAGUAUUGAAUCAAAAUAGAACAAAUUAUAAUCUAAUAAUCAAACUAAAAUCAAAAAUCAAAACGAACUAGAAUAAGGUAUGAACAGCCAGAGUUAACUCGAUUAUCAGUCAAGCCAAAAAAUGAAAUUUCAUGGGAUUAACAGAAGAGAGCAGGAAAUCAGAAACGGAAAAUCUAAGAAUAUGAAUGAACAAAUAAAAUCCUAAAACAAAUAGGAAACGGGACAAAAUCAAUUCCUAAAUUAUCUACUGGGAAAAAAAUGAAUAUAGAAAAAUAAGGAUGAAGCAAACAAUAACAAAAGAAAAAGGAUGAAAGAAAAAUAAAGAGCAGUUAAUAAGAAAUACCUAACGCGGCAAGGAUAGAUGAUGAAGAAAAUCCUUCGAUUCUGUAGAAUUAGGGGCCAAUUUUUUGACUCCAAAUUCGAGCAGUUGGAGGCAGAUUUGAAGGAAGAUUACCAGGAAUUUGGUAUGAGGAGAUGAGGGAGGUCUUGUGGUGUAAAUUAGGACCGGUUUUGGUGGUAUGGCCGCCGUGGACGGCGGAGACAACAACAACAAUUUCGAUUAUUCGAAGGCUUCUGGUGGGAUUGGAAAGGAGAUAGUGGAAGAUUCGUGAUGAGGAUGCAGGCGGUAUAGGGGUGUGAUUUUGAGAGCCAGCGGAGACGAUUGUGUCUUCGCCGGCGGCGGCGUUGGUUGAGGGUGGGGGGUACGAGGAAGAAGCAGAUGGUCUCUAGGGCUAUUGGGAAUUUU
Molecule: long non-coding RNA, 2214 nt
Filed under: Nicotiana benthamiana
Lineage: Eukaryota; Viridiplantae; Streptophyta; Magnoliopsida; Solanales; Solanaceae
Description: long non-coding RNA (NBEN_LNC037369)
Source: RNAcentral